AAGGUACUCCCUUCGUUCGGAAUUACUUGUCGCAAAAAUGUAUGUAUCUAGACGUAUUUUAGUUCUAGAUACAUCCAUUUUCGAGAUAAGUAAUUCCAAACGGAGGGAGUAGCUU
Molecule: non-coding RNA, 115 nt
Organism: Triticum aestivum (bread wheat)
Lineage: Eukaryota; Viridiplantae; Streptophyta; Magnoliopsida; Poales; Poaceae
Source: Rfam